CAGCCGGGAGGAUCCAACGCUCUUCCAAGUUCAGGCCGCUGCAGGCUGCAGGCCACCCGACGGGGAACACAUCCCGCGAGGCAUUGGGCAUGAAGGGACAGAGCAUUUAGGGAUCUUGCAAGACCCACCCACUCUGCUUGAAUAGGCUAGAGACCCCCCACCAAAGCUGCCCUGGUGAGCAGGUCUCUGGCCACACUAAGGAGGGCCUUCAGGUGCAGAUAGGGUGGUGGGUGUCUUCCCACUGGCCCACUCCCACCACUUCCUGCUGAUGCUACAACUGGUGAAGCUCAGACUGACAGCCUCAGCUGGAGUCACCUCCUGGUCUGGAGAAUCCCAUGCCUUGGGACCACCCGUGCCUUGGGGGUCAGGAGGAAUGCCAGCCCUGCUGUCCUUGUCCUCAGUGAACCUGUGCUCAAGUUACCCACAAUGAGAAACUGUUUGUAUAAACUCAGUACUUCCCUGC
This is a non-coding RNA of Ictidomys tridecemlineatus (thirteen-lined ground squirrel), 463 nucleotides long. NCBI's taxonomy places the organism in Eukaryota, Metazoa, Chordata, Mammalia, Rodentia, Sciuridae. The record is from RefSeq and is a predicted model, not a curated record.